UCAAGCGCAACAAGGGCGUUUGGUGGAUGCCUUGGCACUGAGAGGCGAUGAAGGACGUAGCACGCUGCGAUAAGCCACGGGGAGUUGCGAGCAGACUCUGAUCCGUGGAUUUCCGAAUGGGGAAACCCACCGCGCUUAAGCGGUAUCGUAUGGUGAAUACAUAGCCAUGCGAGGCAAACCCGGUGAACUGAAACAUCUAAGUAGCCGGAGGAAAGGACAUCAACCGAGACUCCGUUAGUAGUGGCGAGCGAACGCGGACCAGGCCAGUGGCGGACCUGUAAGAACCGGAAGCGUCUGGAAAGGCGCGCCAGAGUGGGUGAUAGCCCCGUACGGGUAGAAAGCAGGUUCGUCCUCGAGUAAGACGGGACACGUGAAAUCCUGUCCGAACGUGGGGGGACCACCCUCCAAGCCUAAGUACUCCUCAGUGACCGAUAGUGAACCAGUACCGUGAGGGAAAGGUGAAAAGAACCCCGAUGAGGGGAGUGAAACAGUUCCUGAAACCGGACGCCUACAAGCAGUGGGAGCCCCUUUAUGGGGUGACCGCGUACCUUUUGCAUAAUGGGUCAGCGAGUUAAUCUAUGUAGCAAGCUUAAGCCGAUAGGCGUAGGCGCAGCGAAAGCGAGUCUUAAUAGGGCGACAUAGUUACAUGGAUUAGACCCGAAACCGAGUGAUCUAGCCAUGGGCAGGCUGAAGGUGCGGUUACACGUACUGGAGGGCCGAACCCACCAAUGUUGAAAAAUUGGGGGAUGACCUGUGGCUAGGGGUGAAAGGCCAAUCAAACUCGGAAAUAGCUGGUUCUCCGCGAAAUCUAUUUAGGUAGAGCGUCGUAUGAUUGCCGCCGGGGGUAGAGCACUGGAUGGGCUAGGGGGACGCGAGUCUUACCAAACCUAACCAAACUCCGAAUACCGGCGAGCUCAAUACGGCAGGCAGACCGUGGGUGCUAAGGUCCAUGGUCGAGAGGGAAAAAGCCCAGACCGCCAGCUAAGGUCCCUAAGUCAUGGCUAAGUGGGAAAGGAUGUGGGAAGGCCAAGACAACCAGGAGGUUGGCUUAGAAGCAGCCAUCCUUUAAAGAAAGCGUAAUAGCUCACUGGUCUAGUUAAGCCGUCCUGCGCCGAAAAUGUACCGGGGCUCAAGCCAUGCACCGAAGCUGCGGGCGUGUCUCUGACACGCGGUAGCGGAGCGUUCCGUAAGCCUGUGAAGGCGCGUCGCGAGGCGCGCUGGAGGUAUCGGAAGUGAGAAUGCUGACAUGAGUAGCGAUAAACAGGGUGAGAAACCCUGUCGCCGAAAGUCCAAGGUUUCCUGCGCAAGGCUAAUCCGCGCAGGGUGAGCCGGCCCCUAAGGCGAGGGCGAAAGCCGUAGUCGAUGGGAACCAGGUUAAUAUUCCUGGGCCUGCUGGAAGUGACGAAUACCGUGUAUCGUUCAUGCUUAUUGGAUUGUGUGGGCGGUGAAGGUGUUCCAGGAAAUAACUCCAGCGUAUAGACCGUACCCCAAACCGACACAGGUGGACUGGUAGAGUAUACCAAGGCGCUUGAGAGAACGGUGUUGAAGGAACUAGGCAAAUUGACCCCGUAACUUUGGAAGAAGGGGUACCCGUUCUUGGGCAACCAGGGACGGGUGGCACUGACCAGGGGGAAGCGACUGUUUACUAAAAACACAGGGCUCUGCGAAGUCGUAAGACGACGUAUAGGGCCUGACGCCUGCCCGGUGCCGGAAGGUUAAGAGGAAGGGUGCAAGCUCUGAAUUGAAGCCCCGGUAAACGGCGGCCGUAACUAUAACGGUCCUAAGGUAGCGAAAUUCCUUGUCGGGUAAGUUCCGACCUGCACGAAUGGCGUAACGAUUUCCCCACUGUCUCCAACACCGACUCAGCGAAAUUGAAUUCUCCGUGCAGAUGCGGAGUACCCGCGGUUAGACGGAAAGACCCCGUGCACCUUUACUGCAGCUUUACAGUGGUAUUAGAGGGUGAAUGUGUAGGAUAGGCGGGAGCCUGUGAAGCGUCGGCGCCAGUUGACGUGGAGGCAACCUUGAAAUACCGCCCUUUUGUUCUCUGGUAUCUAACCGCGACCCGUGAAUCCGGGUCCGGGACCCUGUAUGGUGGGUAGUUUGACUGGGGCGGUCGCCUCCUAAAGAGUAACGGAGGCGCGCGAAGGUGGGCUCAAGCUGGUCGGAAAUCAGCUGUCGAGUGCAAUGGCAUAAGCCCGCCUGACUGUGAGACUGACGGGUCGAGCAGAGACGAAAGUCGGUCAUAGUGAUCCGGUGGUCCCGCGUGGAAGGGCCAUCGCUCAACGGAUAAAAGGUACGCCGGGGAUAACAGGCUAAUAACCCCCAAGAGUCCAUAUCGACGGGGUUGUUUGGCACCUCGAUGUCGGCUCAUCACAUCCUGGGGCUGAAGCAGGUCCCAAGGGUUCGGCUGUUCGCCGAUUAAAGUGGUACGUGAGCUGGGUUUAGAACGUCGUGAGACAGUUCGGUCCCUAUCUGCCGUGGGUGUUGGAGAAUUGAGAGGAGCUGCCCCUAGUACGAGAGGAUCGGGGUGGACGCACCUCUGGUGUACCGGUUGUUCCGCCAGGAGCACCGCCGGGUAGCUAUGUGCGGAAGGGAUAACCGCUGAAAGCAUCUAAGCGGGAAGCCCCCCUCGAAACUAGUUCUCCCUUGAGAGCCGUGGAAGACGACCACGUUGAUAGGCCAGGUGUGGAAGUGCGGUGACGCAUGCAGCUAACUGGUACUAAUCGCUCGAGAGGCUUGAUUCG
This 2744-nucleotide ribosomal RNA is filed under the name marine sediment metagenome. RNAcentral's name for it is "bacterial LSU rRNA". It matches the Rfam family "Bacterial large subunit ribosomal RNA". The record is from RNAcentral.